GGGGAUUUAGCUUAGCAGCAGAGCACCUGCCUGGCAAGUGCGAGGUCCUGAGUUUGAUCCUCAGUACUCCCC
This 72-nucleotide transfer RNA is filed under the name Heterocephalus glaber (naked mole-rat). It matches the Rfam family "tRNA". Rfam says of the family: Transfer RNA (tRNA) molecules are approximately 80 nucleotides in length. Their secondary structure includes four short double-helical elements and three loops (D, anti-codon, and T loops). The record is from Rfam by way of RNAcentral. Lineage: Eukaryota; Metazoa; Chordata; Mammalia; Rodentia; Bathyergidae.